Molecule: ribosomal RNA, 492 nt
Filed under: uncultured bacterium
Lineage: Bacteria
Description: partial 16S ribosomal RNA
Rfam family: Bacterial small subunit ribosomal RNA
Source: RNAcentral
AGUGAACGCUGGCGGUAGGCCUAACACAUGCAAGUCGAACGGCAGCACAGUAAGAGCUUGCUCUUACGGGUGGCGAGUGGCGGACGAGUGAGGAAUACAUCGGAAUCUACUUUUUCGUGGGGGAUAACGUAGGGAAACUUACGCUAAUACCGCAUACGACCUACGGGUGAAAGCAGGGGAUCUUCGGACCUUGCGCGAUUGAAUGAGCCGAUGUCGGAUUAGCUAGUUGGCGGGGUAAAGGCCCACCAAGGCGACGAUCCGUAGCUGGUCUGAGAGGAUGAUCAGCGACACUGGAAGUGAGACACGGUCCAGAGUCCUACGGGAGGCAGCAGUGGGGAAUAUUGGACAAUGGGCGCAAGCCUGAUCCAGCCAUACCGCGUGGGUGAAGAAGGCCUUCGGGUUGUAAAGCCCUUUUGUUGGGAAAGAAAAGCAGCAGGUUAAUACCCCGCUGUUCUGACGGUACCCAAAGAAUAAGCACCGGCUAACUUCGUG